UGAAAUCUGGCUCUCGGGCCCGAGUUGUAAUUUGUAGAGGAUACUUUUGAUGCGGUGCCUUCCGAGUUCCCUGGAACGGGACGCCAUAGAGGGUGAGAGCCCCGUCUGGUUGGAUGCCAAAUCUCUGUAAAGUUCCUUCGACGAGUCGAGUAGUUUGGGAAUGCUGCUCUAAAUGGGAGGUAUAUGUCUUCUAAAGCUAAAUACCGGCCAGAGACCGAUAGCGCACAAGUAGAGUGAUCGAAAGAUGAAAAGCACUUUGAAAAGAGAGUUAAAAAGUACGUGAAAUUGUUGAAAGGGAAGCGUUUAUGACCAGACUUGGGCUUGGUUAAUCAUCUGGGGUUCUCCCCAGUGCACUUUUCCAGUCCAGGCCAGCAUCAGUUUUCCCCGGGGGAUAAAGACUUCGGGAAUGUGGCUCUCUUCGGGGAGUGUU
RNAcentral lists this ribosomal RNA (430 nucleotides) under Fusarium fujikuroi. Its description in RNAcentral is "partial large subunit ribosomal RNA". It matches the Rfam family "Eukaryotic large subunit ribosomal RNA", at positions 116 to 557 of the family's 3401-position model. Lineage: Eukaryota; Fungi; Ascomycota; Sordariomycetes; Hypocreales; Nectriaceae. The record is from RNAcentral.